Molecule: long non-coding RNA, 378 nt
Filed under: Pelobates cultripes (western spadefoot toad)
Lineage: Eukaryota; Metazoa; Chordata; Amphibia; Anura; Pelobatidae
Source: RNAcentral
ACCAUGCAAACCCUACCCACUGACCUCAGAUUCCUAAGAGAGCAACAGGCCACUGCUACCCCACAGGAAAAACAAAGCUGGAAGGACAAAGGAGCAAUCAUACAGAAUGAUAUAUAUACAAUCAACCUCAAAUUCUGUCUACCCAAGAAUAUGUAUCCAGCUGUUGUCCAAUGGGCUCAUGGACCAACACAUUUGUCAAAACAACUCAUGAACUCUUUGAUUGACAAAUAUUUCGAAGCACCUGGGAUCACUACCUUAACUCGAAACUACUGCUGGUCCUGUACUAUCUGUGCUAAAUGCAACCCAGGGAAAAUAAUCAAAGCUGCACCGAAUCAUUUGGCCAAACCACAAUAUCCCUUCCAGAGGAUCCAAAUUGAU